Long non-coding RNA from Homo sapiens (human), 1920 nucleotides. The record is from Ensembl. NCBI's taxonomy places the organism in Eukaryota, Metazoa, Chordata, Mammalia, Primates, Hominidae.
GAACAGUGUCUUACACAUAACAGGUGCUUUAAGAGCUCUGGGAUGAGCAACUUUCUGUAUCCCUGAUGGAAAUGCUUACAGAGUCCAUUCUGCUGUCUGCUUCCUUUUGGGUCAAGUGGCGUCCGUCGGGCAGCUGCACAUUGGAUGAUACUUCCUAGAGUGCGUCGGUGUCCUGCUGCUAGGAAAGGUGCCCUGUUGUUUGGAGCUGGGAGAAAACAGCAAGAAAUGAGUUCUAAGGAUUUUGGUGAUGUCGAUGCUGCUGGUCUGGGGACAAUACUUGGAGAAGCACUGGAGUACAGCUGACCCUUAACAUGGGUUGGAACUGUGCAGGUCCACCUAUAUCUGGAUUUUCUUCUGCCUCUGCCACUUCUGAGACAGCAAGAUCAACUCCUCCUCUUCUUCCUACUCAACAUAAGGACGACGAGGAUGAUGAUGUUCCAUUUCUACUUAAUGAAUUGUAAAUAUAGUUUCUCCUUUGUGAUGGUUAAUACUGAGUGUCAACUUGAUUGGAUGGAAGGACGUGAAGUAUGUUCCUAUGCGUGUCUGUGAGAUAUUGCCAAAGGAGAUUAACAUUUGAGUCCGUGGACUGGGAAAGGCAGACCCACCCUUAAUCUGGGUGGAUGCAAUCUAAUCGGCUGCCAGUGCAGCAAGAAUAAAAGCAGGCACAAUAAUGUGAAGAGUAGACUAGCCUAGCCUCCCAGCCUACAUCUUUCUCCCACGCUGGAUGCUUCCUGCCCUUGAACAUCAGACUCCAAGUUCUUCAGCUUUGGGACUUGGACUGGCUUCCUUGUUCCUCAGCCUGCAGAUGGCCUGUUGUGGAACCUUGUGAUAAUGUGAGUCAGUAUUCCUUAAUAAACUCCCCUUUAUAUAUACAUUUAUCCUAUUAGUUCUGUCCCUCUAGAGAACCCCAACUAAUACAUCCUUCUUAUGAUUUUCUUAAUAACAUUUUCUUUCCUCUGGCUUUAUUGUAAGAAUACAGUAUAUAAUUCAUAUAGCACACAAAAUAUACGUUCAUUGACAGUUUGUGUUAUCAGUAAGGCUUCUGGCCAACAGUAGGCUAUUAAUAGUUAAGUUUUUGAAGGGGUCAAAAGUUAUACGUGGACUUUUGACUGCAUAGAGGUUGGUGCCCCUAACCCCUGUGUUGUUCAAGGGUCAGCUGCAGCAAAAGCAUCAAUUAAGAGAGAAACUUAAAGCUCUACUCCUGCCUCUUUUUCGAUUUUCUAGCUGAGUAAUCUUGAGCAAAGAUUCAGUUUCUUCCCAUGCAAAAUGAGGAGACUGGCCUAAAGUAGGCCUUUUCAACUACUGUCUCCUGACAGCCCUCGGGGAGCUGAUCUGGGCCUUGAGCCGAUAGCCUUCUACCCUAAGCAACCUCCUUCAUUUAUCUCAGCGUGCCUUAUAAAUAUUGUCAUUUUCUAUGUGUGUAUGACCCAAAAAGGACUGGGAAAUGUUGCACCUGAAAACUGCUGAGGCCCUUUUAGCUCUAAAUUAUUAUAGGUUUACAAGUUUUGAUAAACGCCUCCAUCUCAAUUAUACUCAUCAUCGCCUGCUGGCUAUGGCUGUUAACUUACAUCACGCAUAUGUGGUGCUUGCAUGUCUUUCUUAUAAAUCACAUUCUUUGGAUGUUUUCCUACCUCAUUGAUUACUUUUUCUCAGAUUGAGAUGGGUUGCCUGAUAGCCUCCCUAAAGCACAUGGACUUGGUGUUCAUUUAGUCAUUCAACACUCGGCACUUCCCGAUGCUGGAGGCUGCAUGGGAUUUAUCCCUUCUUCCCUUUAAUAACACUGUAUUAUCCAACAGUCAUGCGGCUGUAUUACCUUCUCCACCUGCUCCUGCUCUUCUCUGCUCCAACAGAGAGAAAAAUUAGAGGCAGCUGUAAAGAGACAAGACAUCCUCUUUUCCUCUAUUCAUAGUUUUUCCUGAU